This 908-nucleotide ribosomal RNA is filed under the name Exiguobacterium indicum. RNAcentral's name for it is "bacterial SSU rRNA". It matches the Rfam family "Bacterial small subunit ribosomal RNA", at positions 57 to 936 of the family's 1533-position model. The record is from RNAcentral. Lineage: Bacteria; Bacillati; Bacillota; Bacilli; Caryophanales.
GCAGUCGAGCGCAGGAAGCUGACGGAACUCUUCGGAGGGAAGGCAGUGGAAUGAGCGGCGGACGGGUGAGUAACACGUAAGGAACCUGCCUCAAGGAUUGGGAUAACUCCGAGAAAUCGGAGCUAAUACCGGAUAGUUCAACGGACCGCAUGGUCCGCUGAUGAAAGGCGCUUCGGCGUCACCUUGAGAUGGCCUUGCGGUGCAUUAGCUAGUUGGUGGGGUAACGGCCCACCAAGGCGACGAUGCAUAGCCGACCUGAGAGGGUGAUCGGCCACACUGGGACUGAGACACGGCCCAGACUCCUACGGGAGGCAGCAGUAGGGAAUCUUCCACAAUGGACGAAAGUCUGAUGGAGCAACGCCGCGUGAGUGAUGAAGGUUUUCGGAUCGUAAAACUCUGUUGUAAGGGAAGAACACGUACGAGAGGGAAUGCUCGUACCUUGACGGUACCUUACGAGAAAGCCACGGCUAACUACGUGCCAGCAGCCGCGGUAAUACGUAGGUGGCAAGCGUUGUCCGGAAUUAUUGGGCGUAAAGCGCGCGCAGGCGGCCUUUUAAGUCUGAUGUGAAAGCCCCCGGCUCAACCGGGGAGGGCCAUUGGAAACUGGAAGGCUUGAGUACAGAAGAGAAGAGUGGAAUUCCACGUGUAGCGGUGAAAUGCGUAGAGAUGUGGAGGAACACCAGUGGCGAAGGCGACUCUUUGGUCUGUAACUGACGCUGAGGCGCGAAAGCGUGGGGGAGCAAACAGGAUUAGAUACCCUGGUAGUCCACGCCGUAAACGAUGAGUGCUAGGUGUUGGGGGGUUUCCGCCCCUCAGUGCUGAAGCUAACGCAUUAAGCACUCCGCCUGGGGAGUACGGCCGCAAGGCUGAACUCAAAGGAAUUGACGGGGACCCGCACAAGCGGUGGA